This 217-nucleotide ribosomal RNA is filed under the name uncultured archaeon. RNAcentral describes it as "partial 16S ribosomal RNA". It matches the Rfam family "Archaeal small subunit ribosomal RNA", at positions 462 to 673 of the family's 1478-position model. The record is from RNAcentral.
UCGCCACGGUAAUACCAGCCCCGCGAGUGGUCGGGACGUUUAUUGGGCCUAAAGCGCCCGUAGCCGGCCCAGCAAGUCCCCUCCUAAAAACCUCGGGGCUCAACCCGAGGGGUGGGGGGGAUACUGCCGGGGCUAGGGGGCGGGAGAGGCCGGGGGGUACUCCCGGGGUAGGGGGCGAAAAUCCUAUAAUCCCGGGAGGACCACCAGUGGCGAAGGC